Molecule: ribosomal RNA, 253 nt
Filed under: uncultured bacterium
Lineage: Bacteria
Description: partial 16S ribosomal RNA
Rfam family: Bacterial small subunit ribosomal RNA
Source: RNAcentral
UACGGAGGGUGCGAGCGUUGUCCGGAAUCACUGGGCGUAAAGGGCGCGUAGGUGGCCGAGCAAGGUCGCGGUGAAAGCCCGGGGCUCAACCCCGGGUCGGCCGUGGCAACUACUGGGCUGGAGCACUGUAGGGGCGGGUGGAAUUCCGGGUGUAGCGGUGGAAUGCGUAGAGAUCCGGAAGAACACCGGUGGCGAAGGCGGCCCGCUGGGCCGACACUGACGCUGAUGCGCGAAAGCCAGGGGAGCGAACGGG